Molecule: ribosomal RNA, 226 nt
Filed under: uncultured bacterium
Lineage: Bacteria
Description: partial 16S ribosomal RNA
Rfam family: Bacterial small subunit ribosomal RNA
Source: RNAcentral
AAUCAACGCUGGCGGCGUGCCUAACACAUGCAAGUCGAGCGCGAAAGCGGGGCAACUCGCAAGUAGAGCGGCGAACGGGUGAGUAACGCGUGGGUGAUCUACCUCCGAGUGGGGAACAACAUCGGGAAACUGGUGCUAAUACCGCAUGACAUCCUCGGGUCAUACUGAGGAUCAAAGCCGGGGACCGCAAGGCCUGGCGCUUGGAGAGGAGCCCGCGUCCGAUUAG